AUGGGGGACCCGAAUGGAUUCAUAGCGGAAACUCAUUUUAAAUGUAAUGGACUGGGCGGUUUUAUGAUCCCUCGGAAGCCGGCAUGUGAGCGAGGUGCCCAGAGGUCUCCCUCGCCGCCUGCUCGGGGAUGUGUUUCCUCCGGCCGAGGGGCCAGCACGCCGGGCAGCCCCCCCCGGCGGAGCCCGCGGGCCCGUGUGUGCGCCCCGGGGGAGGAGCAGCAGCCCCCGCCCGGCGGUGGCGGCCCGGGCCGCCCUCGGGGACCCCUCGGCGAGGCGGCGCGGAGCGGAGCGGAGCGGAGCGGUGCGGUGCGGCGCGGAGCGGGGCGCGGAGGGGAGCCGGGCGAGCAGGAGGUGUGCCUGCGUGCGAGGCGGCGAGCGCGGCCGCCGGGGCGAGCGCAGGGAGGCAGGGAAAUGAUCUUUGUCCCUUUCGGCAGCUCUCCGCCUCCUCAUAGCCUCGUCACCAAGUCAACCGGCACCAGCCUGGAGCAGAUUAUCUCCGAGGGUCAACACAUUGCAGCCCAAGCCGCGGAGAAGGCUCCCAAAUUUACCCCUUCGGCAAACAAUCCGCUGCCUAUCGCUCGCUCUGUUGAUAGCAUUGUGGUCCCCGCGGCCGCAUCCCCCCGGGCAGGGGGAGAGCGGGCAGAAAGCAGGGCUGCGCCUCCUUCCGCGGCCGCGGCACACGGCUUGGCCCCGAGGGAGCCUGCGCCCCGGCUGCCCCGGGCAUCCGCUGCCCAUCGCCGCAGCGCUACGCGGAGGUGUCCCUGCAGCCGACGGUCACCGGGGGCCAAACCCCUCCGGGAGCCGUGUCCCCCGGCCCCCACGGGUUUUGCUCCCCGGGCCGCGCCCGCGGAGCGCGGAGACGAGCAGCCCUUGCGCAGGCGGGGAGGGGGAGACGCGGGCCUGGGGGCCGAACCUCGGCCGCCCUCGCCGAGCCCACCCGCACGGCGGCAGCGUGCGGAGCGCAGCUCGGCCCUGCCCCACUUCACCCCGGGGCCACCCCCGGCUUCCCCCGGCCCCGCCAGCCCCACACCGCCGGGCGCCUGCCGCGGGGCGGGCGGGAGCGGCGCCCCGACGGUGGUCCCGCGCCCUCCCCACGGGGCCAAGGAGAAGUGGGUUGUGGGUUGUGGGGCCACCCCGGGUGGCCUCUUAUGGGUCCCGCCCCGCCCCGGAGGGCCGCGGGAGGGCUCACGUGGGGGGAGCGGCGCCUAUGGGGAGGCGGCGGGAGCCGGGCAGGGCGGCGGGGCCCGGCGGGCGGCGAGCUGUCAAAGAGGCAUCCCGGGCGCCGGGAGCGGGAGCAGCCCGAUGUGUCCCUAG
Molecule: long non-coding RNA, 1314 nt
Filed under: Apteryx haastii (Great spotted kiwi)
Lineage: Eukaryota; Metazoa; Chordata; Aves; Apterygiformes; Apterygidae
Description: lncRNA (ENSAHAG00000003552.1)
Source: RNAcentral